UGUUCUCUUUCUCCCUUCCCCUUCUCUCUCUACCAGAGCUCAACAACACCCACCAUUAAUGGCAGAAACUACUGAAACCUCUUCUGCUCCAGAUUUAGACAAUAUAUAGACACCCAGUGGUCGUCAUUAGCGUCAAGCGAAAGUCGACCAAGAUUCCAGAACAACAGCAAUUUCAUCGCUGAUUUCUGUGCUUAUGGGGUUGGUAGAUAUCAAAGGGAAUGAUGAUGGUUUGAAAUUGGUCAUCGCUGGUGGAUUUUGAGAAACUAUCUAUCCCUGGUUCAAUUCAACAAACAAGACUUAUUUGAUCGAAAUUCACCUACAGGCCUUCUGCCAUACUUGAUGGUGUGUACGAACUACCUAAACAGAAAUUGGUGAAGAUGUUUCUUGAAAUUCUGAGUGCUUUUCCUCAUUUGGUGCUUGAUGCUGCAUUUUCACCGAGAAUUCCUGAACUGCCUUACUUUUUUAAUGAAAGCUUGAAGCCCACUGCAAUCAUCAAAUCAGAUUGUACAAACAUAGCAGCAAGCUGAAAGAGUUGCCAGAGCAAAGCCCCGUUGUUCUUGCAAUGAGAUUGACAUAUCACCAUGGAGUUAGGGAAGCUGCGAUCAAAUGGAUGGAGUUCAUAACGCAUAGUGUACUGAAGUUGAUAUGAGAUGCAUUCCAGUAUUUGCUAGUAUCGGAAAAUGGUGCCCCUCAUUUUUCUCAUCUUCUAUGAGGUAUCUGGAGAAUCAUUUGGUAUUCAAAAUAGUGUUAAAGCAGCUGCCCUCUCCUCAUUUUUCCGUGUUCAGCAAGCUUUGAUAACUGCCGAAAUGGGUACCAUGUUUCCUGGGUUGCAUGAUCUUUGGGUCCUUACUGGGGUUUCAUACAAGGCUGGAUGAAAUGGCAUAGUGGGGUUAUUGAUAACGGUUUAUACCGUGUUGUUUUAGACUACGUAUUUGAAACUAACCAUCCCCUGCUUUAGAUGGAGAUUUGCCCAGGGCAUUAGCAGUUGUGGUUUGAACAAUAACUUUUAAAUUUAACCUCAAAAAAGACACUUCCAGGGCUUUGUUUUGUGUAUGCUUUAAAUCUUAGUUGCAUGUACUAUUAUUGUUUGGAUGAGUGCCUCUUAUGGAAGUUCAGGAUUGUUGGGGUUUAUUAAUUGUUUUCUUAAUUAAGGAAAGAGCAUCUGGUUUCCUUUUUUUUGAUCCUUUGUCGAGUCAAAACGGAGUUAACCAGGUUUUACAAUUAAAUAUUAUAUUUAGUUUCUCUAAUUAUGAGACACCUGUACAGAUGACGAGUUGAUCUGAGAUUUAGAAGGUUUUGGUUUCCACCUCUUUUAAGACGACUCUCUCUCUCUGUAUAUAUAAAUAUAAGAAGAGUUGAUUUCCAGUGCACAGAACUUCUUCACUUCUUUGUUCUUUUUGGGUCUUUGUUGUUGUCGAGAGUUGCUUAUCGUUUCAGAGCUAAAUCAGUUACAUCAAUAUUCCUAUAAAAUAUUAUUACGGCAACUAGGUUCAGGAUUGUAUCCAGGAUGUUCACUUCUGCUGCCAGGAAUUUACCCAUCACUUCUGCUGCCAGGAAUCUGCGCAUCAAUGAGGUUCCGAUUGCAAAAGAGGUUUAUGAAAAUCUGAAGCUGCAGCCGUUGCAAUUUGUGGCGGAUUAUUUACAACAAUUGUAUGGCGCUUAAGGACCAUCAGGUAUCUAAAGGGAUGCAAGAGGAAUAUGGUCGCGAGAUGUUGAGGAGGCUGCAAGCCCUGAGACAGGAUAAAGUGCGCAUAUGAGUGUGCAGGACUUCUUGGUGACAUACGUUUUUUUGUGGCAGACUCAACCGAAUGAUAUCUUACUGUUAUGUAUUGGAUUAACUGUUAUCAUUGUACUACAUACUUUGCCUUAUUUCUAUUAAACUUAAUUU
This is a long non-coding RNA of Papaver somniferum (opium poppy), 1888 nucleotides long. RefSeq lists it as uncharacterized. The transcript is spliced from 9 exons. NCBI's taxonomy places the organism in Eukaryota, Viridiplantae, Streptophyta, Magnoliopsida, Ranunculales, Papaveraceae. The record is from RefSeq and is a predicted model, not a curated record.